UAGGGAAUCUUCGGCAAUGGACGAAAGUCUGACCGAGCAACGCCGCGUGAGUGAAGAAGGCUUUCGGAUCGUAAAACUCUGUUGCUAGAGAAGAACAAGGAUGAGAGUAGAAUGUUCAUCCCUUGACGGUAUCUAACCAGAAAGCCACGGCUAACUACGUGCCAGCAGCCGCGGUAAUACGUAGGUGGCAAGCGUUGUCCGGAUUUAUUGGGCGUAAAGCGAGCGCAGGCGGUUUCUUAAGUCUGAUGUGAAAGCCCCCGGCUCAACCGGAGAGGGUCAUUAGAAACUGGGAAACUUGAGUGCAGAAGAGGAGAGUGGAAUUCCAUGUGUAGCGGUGAAAUGCGUAGAUAUAUGGAGGAACACCAGUGGCGAAGGCGGCUCUCUGGUCUGUAACUGACGCUGAGGCUCGAAAGCGUGGGGAGCAAACAGG
RNAcentral lists this ribosomal RNA (430 nucleotides) under Fusobacteriota bacterium. Its description in RNAcentral is "Fusobacteria bacterium partial 16S ribosomal RNA". It matches the Rfam family "Bacterial small subunit ribosomal RNA", at positions 355 to 776 of the family's 1533-position model. Lineage: Bacteria; Fusobacteriati; Fusobacteriota. The record is from RNAcentral.